ACAAACUUGGUCAUUUAGAGGAAGUAAAAGUCGUAACAAGGUCUCCGUUGGUGAACCAGCGGAGGGAUCAUUACAGGAUUCGCUAGUCUCCCGUAACACCCUGUGAACAUACCUAUACUCGUUGCCUCGGCGGGUGCCCCGGCGUUCCGCGCCGGAGCGCCAGCCCGCCGGCGGCUCGCUACUCUGCUUUGACAAGACAUGCAUCUCCGAGUUUUUUACAAACGAAUCAAAACUUUCAACAACGGAUCUCUUGGUUCUGGCAUCGAUGAAGAACGCAGC
RNAcentral lists this unclassified non-coding RNA (279 nucleotides) under uncultured fungus. Its description in RNAcentral is "partial contains small subunit ribosomal RNA, internal transcribed spacer 1, and 5.8S ribosomal RNA". The stretch from base 1 to 73 matches the Rfam family "Eukaryotic small subunit ribosomal RNA", at positions 1759 to 1831 of the family's 1831-position model. Lineage: Eukaryota; Fungi. The record is from RNAcentral.